RNAcentral lists this ribosomal RNA (432 nucleotides) under uncultured bacterium. RNAcentral describes it as "partial 16S ribosomal RNA". It matches the Rfam family "Bacterial small subunit ribosomal RNA", at positions 33 to 507 of the family's 1533-position model. The record is from RNAcentral.
CCUCACGCUGGCGGCAUGCCUAACACAUGCAAGUCGAACGAGACCUUCGGGUCUAGUGGCGCACGGGUGCGUAACGCGUGGGAACCUGCCCUUAGGUUCGGAAUAACUCCCCGAAAGGGGUGCUAAUACCGGAUAAUGUCUUCGGACCAAAGAUUUAUCGCCUUUGGAUGGGCCCGCGUUGGAUUAGCUAGUUGGUAGGGUAAAAGCCUACCAAGGCGACGAUCCAUAGCUGGUCUGAGAGGAUGAUCAGCCACACUGGGACUGAGACACGGCCCAGACUCCUACGGGAGGCAGCAGUGGGGAAUAUUGGACAAUGGGCGAAAGCCUGAUCCAGCAAUGCCGCGUGAGUGAUGAAGGCCUUAGGGUUGUAAAGCUCUUUUACCCGGGAUGAUAAUGACAGUACCGGGAGAAUAAGCUCCGGCUAACUCCGUG